GUUCCCGUUGAUCCUGCGGGAGAUUGCUGCUAUGGGAGUUCGACUAAGCCAUGCAAGUCAGAGGGCUUCUUCGGAAGCACAGGCUGAAUGCUCAGUAACACGUCAAUAAUCUGCCAUUGGGUCCGGGAUAAUCUUGGGAAACUGAGUCUAAAACCGGAUAUGUAAAUGAUACUGGAAUGUUCUUUUAUUUAAAAGCAAUGCCCAAUGAUGAGUUGGCGGCUGAUUAGCUUGUUGGUAGUGUAAAGGACUACCAAGGCUUUGAUCAGUACGGGCCGUGAGAGCGGUAGCCCGGAGAAGGGUACUGAGACACUGACCCUAGCCCUACGGGGUGCAGCAGGCGCGAAACCUUUACACUGUACGCAAGUGCGAUAAGGGGACUCCCAGUGCUCAUGCUUUGCAUGGGCUUUUGUCAAGUGUAAAUAGCUUGGCGAAUAAGUGGUGGGUAAGACGGGUGCCAGCCGCCGCGGUAACACCUGCGCCACGAGUGGCAAUCGCAUUUAUUUGGCCUAAAGCGUUCGUAGCCGGAUCUGUAAGUCUUGGGUGAAAUCGUUGCGCUUAACAAAACGGCGUGCCUGAGAUACUGCUUAUCUAGGGACCGGGAGGCGUCAAGGGUAUUCCUGAGGGAGCGGUAAAAUGCUAUAAUCUCAGGAGGACCACCUGUGGCGAAGGCGCUUGACGAGAACGGGUUCGACGGUGAGGAACGAAAGCUAGGGGAGCAAACCGGAUUAGAUAUCGAAAAUCCUGCGAUGAUUUUCGGAAAUUAGUCUCGCAUUGUUUGCAGAAAACUACUGUGCGAGGUGAAAACUGAAAGUUACUUUUAUCAGGGUGCUCGACUAAUUACCCGAGUAGUCCUAGCCGUAAACGCUGUGAACUAGAUGUUGCAUAUUCUACGUGAAUGUGCAGUGUCGAAGCGAAGGUAUUAAGUUCACCGCCUGGGAAGUACGGUCGCAAGGCUGAAACUUAAAGGAAUUGGCGGGAGAGCACCACAAGGGGUGCGGCGUGCGGUUUAAUCUAACUCUACGCAGAGAAUCUCACCAGCAGCGACGGCAGAAUGAAAGUCAGAUUAAAUGUCUUACUUGACGAGCCGAGAGGUAUUGCAUGGCGGUCGUCAGCUCGUGCCGUAAGGUGUCCUCUUAAGUGAGGUAACGAGCGAGACCCAUACUCAUAAUUGCUAGCAGGUCCUUUAGGAUGUCUGAGCACCUUAUGGGGACUGCCCUGGAAACAGGGAGGAAGGUGUGGGCCACGGUACGUCUGUAUGGUCCGAAUCUGCUGGGCUACACGCGCGCAACAAUGGCAAGGACAAUGGGCUGCAACACCGAAAGGUGACGCCAAACCUCCAAACCUUGUCUUAGUUUAGAUUGAUGGCUGUAAUUCGCCCUCAUGACAACGGAAUCCCUAGUAAUCGGACUUCAUCACGGUCCGGUGAAUAUGUCCCUGCUCUUUGCACACACCGCCCGUCAAACCAACCGAGUUGGGUUUGGGUGAGAUGCAGCUUUGAGUUGCAUCAAACCCAUAUUCGGUGAGGUGGGUUAAGUCGUCACAAGGUAGCCGUAGGGGAACCUACGGCUGGAUCACCUCCU
RNAcentral lists this ribosomal RNA (1580 nucleotides) under Candidatus Woesearchaeota archaeon. Its description in RNAcentral is "bacterial SSU rRNA". It matches the Rfam family "Archaeal small subunit ribosomal RNA". The record is from RNAcentral. Lineage: Archaea; Nanobdellati; Candidatus Woesearchaeota.